RNAcentral lists this ribosomal RNA (513 nucleotides) under uncultured microorganism. RNAcentral describes it as "bacterial SSU rRNA". It matches the Rfam family "Bacterial small subunit ribosomal RNA", at positions 9 to 502 of the family's 1533-position model. The record is from RNAcentral.
GAGUUUGAUCCUGGCUCAGGAUGAACGCUGGCGGCGUGCCUAAUACAUGCAAGUCGAGCGAACGGACGAGAAGCUUGCUUCUCUGAUGUUAGCGGCGGACGGGUGAGUAACACGUGGAUAACCUACCUAUAAGACUGGGAUAACUUCGGGGAAACCGGAGCUAAUACCGGAUAAUAUUUUGAACCGCAUGGUUCAAAAGUGAAAGACGGUCUUGCUGUCACUUAUAGAUGGAUCCGCGCUGCAUUAGCUAGUUGGUAAGGUAACGGCUUACCAAGGCAACGAUGCAUAGCCGACCUGAGAGGGUGAUCGGCCACACUGGAACUGAGACACGGUCCAGACUCCUACGGGAGGCAGCAGUAGGGAAUCUUCCGCAAUGGGCGAAAGGCCUGACGGAGCAACGCCGCGUGAGUGGUGAAGGUCUUCGGAUCGUAAAACUCUGUUAUUAGGGAAGAACAUAUGUGUAAGUAACUGUGCACAUCUUGACGGUACCUAAUCAGAAAGCCACGGCUAACU